UGGGGAAUCUUGGACAAUGGGGGCAACCCUGAUCCAGCCAUGCCGCGUGAGUGAUGAAGGCCUUAGGGUCGUAAAGCUCUUUCGCCUGUGAAGAUAAUGACGGUAGCAGGUAAAGAAACCCCGGCUAACUCCGUGCCAGCAGCCGCGGUAAUACGGAGGGGGUUAGCGUUGUUCGGAAUUACUGGGCGUAAAGCGCACGUAGGCGGACCAGAAAGUUGGGGGUGAAAUCCCGGGGGCUCAACCCCGGAACUGCCUCCAAAACUAUUGGUCUAGAGUUCGAGAGAGGUGAGUGGAAUUCCAAGUGUAGAGGUGAAAUUCGUAGAUAUUAGGUGGAACACCAGUGGCGAAGGCGCCUAACUGGUCCGGUACUGACGCUGAGGAACGAAAGCGUGGGGAGCAAACAGGAUUAGAUACCCUGGUAGUCCACGCCGUAAAACGAUGAGUGCUAGUCGUCGGCAGGCAUGCCUGUCGGUGACGCAGCUAACGCAUUAAGCACUCCGCCUGGGGAGUACGGCCGCAGAUUAAAACUCAAAUGAAUUGAC
RNAcentral lists this ribosomal RNA (542 nucleotides) under uncultured bacterium. RNAcentral describes it as "bacterial SSU rRNA". It matches the Rfam family "Bacterial small subunit ribosomal RNA", at positions 355 to 914 of the family's 1533-position model. The record is from RNAcentral.